ACGGAAGGCAGCAGUGAGGAAUAUUGGUCAAUGGGCGAGAGCCUGAACCAGCCAAGUAGCGUGAAGGAUGACUGCCCUACGGGUUGUAAACUUCUUUUGCCGGGGGAUAAAAAACGGGACGUGUCCCGUCUUGCAGGUACCCGUGCGAAUAAGGACCGGCUAAUUCCGUGCCAGCAGCCGCGGUAAUACGGAAGGUCCGGGCGUUAUCCGGAUUUAUUGGGUUUAAAGGGAGCGUAGGCGGCCUUUUAAGCGUGUUGUGAAAUGUCCCGGCUCAACCGUGGCACUGCAGCGCGAACUGGAGGGCUUGAGUGCGCCGGAAGUAGGCGGAAUUCGUUGUGUAGCGGUGAAAUGCUUAGAUAUGACGAAGAACUCCGAUUGCGAAGGCAGCUUACUGUCGCGUAACUGACGCUGAAGCUCGAAAGUGCGGGUAUCGAACAGGAUUAGAUACCCUGGUA
RNAcentral lists this ribosomal RNA (455 nucleotides) under uncultured Prevotella sp. RNAcentral describes it as "bacterial SSU rRNA". It matches the Rfam family "Bacterial small subunit ribosomal RNA", at positions 341 to 792 of the family's 1533-position model. The record is from RNAcentral. Lineage: Bacteria; Pseudomonadati; Bacteroidota; Bacteroidia; Bacteroidales; Prevotellaceae.